UUUAAAUGCAACCAUAAGUUUCCGUGUCCAACUUUAAUCAUCUGUAUUAUUCGAAAUUUUUUUAUGAUUAGUAUUAUUAUUAUUAUUAUAUUAGAUGAUAAAACAUGAAUAGAAUUUUAUGCGUGAUUUAUAUUUUUAUUUUUUUCAAAAAAUUUUUAAAUAAGACGGAUGAUCAAAUUUGGAUAUGGAAACUAAUGACUACCUUAGAA
This is a microRNA precursor of Oryza sativa Japonica Group (Japanese rice), 209 nucleotides long. It matches the Rfam family "MIR812 microRNA precursor family". Lineage: Eukaryota; Viridiplantae; Streptophyta; Magnoliopsida; Poales; Poaceae. The record is from Rfam.